UAUGGAUUCAUUUACAUCCUGGUGCCUCUAUUUACCAGCCAGGUAACCUUGGGGGCACUAGUUAAUAUUCUGAACUACAGUUUCAGUUCAUGGGGAUUGAAUGUGGAAGCCAGAGAGGAUGUUAUCGCUGUUGUACUGGUGAACCCUCGGACUUCACAUCACACACUGAACCCAGGCAAAAUUGUUCCUCUGUGGUUCCUUGAAGAGGGGGCUAUCUGAGGACUGUAGGGUGAGCAGCAGGUCCAAAUAUCAACAGUUUCCGUGGAGUUCUGAGAAGUGAGUAUGGAAUUGAGAGUGUGAGAUCCUGGGGUCUAAAGGACAGUCAACAGCAAAUGCUGCCAGGAUGUGGGGCUAUCAGAAGCCUCUCGUGGCUGGAAGGAAUGGAAAAUGGUGCCACUACUUUGGGAAGCAGACUGGCAGUUUUGGGUUUUCUUGGUUUUGGUACUAGGGAUUGAAUUCAGGGGCACUCGACCACUGAGCCACAUCCCCAGCCCUAUUAUGUAUUUUAUUUAGAGGCAGGGUCUCACUGAGUUGCUUAGCACCUCGCCAUUGCUGAGGUUGGCUUUGAACCCACAGUCCUCCUGUCUCAGCCUCUCAAGCGGCUGGAAUUACAGGCAUGCACCACUACACCUGGCUCAGACUGGCAGUUUUUCAAAAUAUUGAAUACUAAACCCAAUAAAUGAAAUAUGGAAAUAUGAACUAAGUAAAUACAUAAAUAUACAAGAACACAAGAAGAGGGAAUUUCACUGGACCUUGAACUACAAGGCAUCUGAGGAACGGAACCCGCAAGGGAUGCCGAAAAGAAUGCACGAUUAGAUUGAAAAAAAGAUUGUGGACUGGGAUGCACAGGAGAGCCAAGAACAGGGUCCUGCUAAGGGCAGUGGGAGCAGCCAAAGGGUGCUUCCUACCCAAUGGGUGUGUGGAGAUGUAGGAGGGAUCUAGGGUUGACUGCUAGGGAAAUUACUUGGAGCGCUGACGCAGCAGCAGGCAGUACAUGGUCCCCCAUGGACACCCCAUUAUGACCCUGAGCAAGAGUGAUGGGGUUGUCAGUUCUCGUAGCAAAGAAUGUGGGAGGCACAGGGCAGUACCUGAGGUGACUGAGACCACCCAGGAGAAACUAGAGAACCUAAGCCCAAGAACCCAACUGCUAAGAUGCCUACCUGGUAGCAGGUCUUGCCUAUCCCCCAUUGCCUCUGAAAAUAGCAGGGAACAUAAUUCUUUCCUCUUCCCUCAAGCAUGCUCUGCAAACAAGGAAGGCCAACCAUAAAGAUGACUUUGCACAAGGAUCACUAAACCAUGGGAAAAAACCAAGCCCAUCAUCAGGCUGGGGUUGUGGCUCAGUGGUGCUCACCUAGCAUGCAUGAGGCACUGGGUUCCAUCCUCAGCACCACAUAAAUAUAAAAUAAAGAUAUUGUGCCCACCUAAAACUAAAAAAUAAAUGUUUUUUUUAAAAGGCCAUCAAAAGGAAAUCUUCCAAAGAUGGAAGAUUAUACUUGGGAGAAAUCACAGACUUUAUGACAAAAGCUAGCAAGCUGUUUAGGAAUCCUGCUUUGCUUUCUCCUCAGAAAUAGCCAGCCAGGACUUUCUCCAUAGGCAAAGAGUUAGGUAAGACCACCUGAGUGGGUUCCAGCCAGUAGAAUAUAUAAAACAUGGUACAUACCCCUCCAGCCAGGUAGGUCUGUAAAGGGCCCCCACCCCCGCUUCCAUCUGCUGGAUGCCG
Molecule: long non-coding RNA, 1720 nt
Filed under: Marmota monax (woodchuck)
Lineage: Eukaryota; Metazoa; Chordata; Mammalia; Rodentia; Sciuridae
Source: RNAcentral